CUCAGACACCCUAGAGUCCCUCAGAGGCUAGCAGUAUCUACAGGGAAAUGGUCCUCAGAAUCUCAGAACAAGACAGUGAUUUAGAGAUGUAUGCCUGUGUAUCUCUCCAGCCAUCACCUAUGCAUAUUUACUUGUUGGUGAUAGAACCAGAGGAGUUCCCAAGGCCUGUCCAGAUGUGUUUUUCUAUUAGAAGAGGCCAAUCAGUAACCAAUUUUGGAGGCUCUGAGUAUCUCCUGCUGCCACUCCAAAAACAGCUUGCUGAGAGAUCAACUCCUCUCAAAAUCCUGUUCUUCAAGUUUACUGACCCCAAGAGAAGUGCAAUGGUUUACAUUAAAGCCGUUUAAAAACAA
Molecule: long non-coding RNA, 350 nt
Organism: Vidua chalybeata
Lineage: Eukaryota; Metazoa; Chordata; Aves; Passeriformes; Viduidae
Exons: 2
Source: RefSeq, a predicted model, not a curated record